This 254-nucleotide ribosomal RNA is filed under the name Escherichia coli. Its description in RNAcentral is "partial 16S ribosomal RNA". It matches the Rfam family "Bacterial small subunit ribosomal RNA", at positions 1273 to 1526 of the family's 1533-position model. The record is from RNAcentral. RNAcentral also lists the same sequence under 1 other name. Lineage: Bacteria; Pseudomonadati; Pseudomonadota; Gammaproteobacteria; Enterobacterales; Enterobacteriaceae.
CUCAUAAAGUGCGUCGUAGUCCGGAUUGGAGUCUGCAACUCGACUCCAUGAAGUCGGAAUCGCUAGUAAUCGUGGAUCAGAAUGCCACGGUGAAUACGUUCCCGGGCCUUGUACACACCGCCCGUCACACCAUGGGAGUGGGUUGCAAAAGAAGUAGGUAGCUUAACCUUCGGGAGGGCGCUUACCACUUUGUGAUUCAUGACUGGGGUGAAGUCGUAACAAGGUAACCGUAGGGGAACCUGCGGUUGGAUCAC